UCCAGACUCCUACGGGAGGCAGCAGUGGGGAAUAUUGCACAAUGGGGGAAACCCUGAUGCAGCGACGCCGCGUGAGCGAUGAAGUAUCUCGGUAUGUAAAGCUCUCUCAGCAGGGAAGAAAGUGACAGUACCUGACUAAGAAGCCCCGGCUAACUACGUGCCAGCAGCCGCGGUAAUACGUAGGGGGCAAGCGUUAUCCGGAUUCACUGGGCGUAAAGGGAGCGCAGGCGGCACGGCAAGUCUGGAGUGAAAGCCCGGGGCCCAACCCCGGGACUGCUCUUGGAACUGCGCGGCUGGAGUGCAGGAGGGGCAGGCGGAAUUCCUGGUGUAGCGGUGAAAUGCGUAGAUAUCAGGAGGAACACCGGUGGCGAAGGCGGCCUGCUGGACUGCGACUGACGUUGAGGCCCGAAAGCGUGGGGAGCAAACAGGAUUAGAUACCCCAGUA
This 445-nucleotide ribosomal RNA is filed under the name uncultured bacterium. RNAcentral describes it as "partial 16S ribosomal RNA". It matches the Rfam family "Bacterial small subunit ribosomal RNA", at positions 330 to 792 of the family's 1533-position model. The record is from RNAcentral.